This 586-nucleotide ribosomal RNA is filed under the name uncultured bacterium. Its description in RNAcentral is "bacterial SSU rRNA". It matches the Rfam family "Bacterial small subunit ribosomal RNA", at positions 339 to 916 of the family's 1533-position model. The record is from RNAcentral.
CUACGGGAGGCAGCAGUGGGGAAUUUUGGACAAUGGGCGCAAGCCUGAUCCAGCCAUUCCGCGUGAGUGAAGAAGGCCUUCGGGUUGUAAAGCUCUUUCGCAAGGGAAGAAAACUUAUCCUCUAACAUAGGAUGAGGUUGACGGUACCUUGAUAAGAAGCACCGGCUAACUACGUGCCAGCAGCCGCGGUAAUACGUAGGGUGCGAGCGUUAAUCGGAAUUACUGGGCGUAAAGCGUGCGCAGGCUGUUUUGUAAGUCAGAUGUGAAAUCCCUGGGCUCAACCUAGGAACUGCGUUUGAAACUACAAGACUAGAAUAUGUCAGAGGGGGGUAGAAUUCCACGUGUAGCAGUGAAAUGCGUAGAGAUGUGGAGGAAUAUCAAUGGCGAAGGCAGCCCCCUGGGAUAAUAUUGACGCUCAUGCACGAAAGCGUGGGGAGCAAACAGGAUUAGAUACCCUGGUAGUCCACGCCCUAAACGAUGUCUACUAGUUGUUGGUGGAGUAAAAUCCAUGAGUAACGCAGCUAACGCGUGAAGUAGACCGCCUGGGGAGUACGGUCGCAAGAUUAAAACUCAAAGGAAUUGACGG